This 782-nucleotide long non-coding RNA is filed under the name Selaginella moellendorffii. RNAcentral's name for it is "long non-coding RNA (SMOE_LNC001619)". The record is from RNAcentral. Lineage: Eukaryota; Viridiplantae; Streptophyta; Lycopodiopsida; Selaginellales; Selaginellaceae.
GUAGACCAAGCUGGUCUUCGCAGGCUCGACGAGCUCGAGGGCCUCGGCAAGGGCCACUACGAGCGCCGAUCCAUUCUCGUCGAGGGCCUGGAACGAAGUUUAGCUCAGUCCCAAGCUGUGAAUGCCGAGGCUUACUUUGCAGGAUCCAGUUACGCAGUGGAAAUGUUGGGAGCUCCACACUUGCCAAGCUACAGCACCGUCGAGGCGGAGAAUUAUGUUCCGCGGAGGAACCGGCCGCCGGGUAUCACGUUUUUGGAACACGUCCAAGCAUGGAUCGCUGCUAAAAAAUGAAAAAAUGAAAAAAUGAAAAAAUGAAGAUGCUCUCGAGUUUUUUGUAGCCAUGCCACUGUCACGAAAACCACACACGAAUUAAGACAGGGUAUCUCGAACAAAGACAAACCUGACCUUUAGAAUGCUGAUCGCGUUAUUAAGAAUCCCACGGGGAAUCUUAUCGUUCCCUCGUCGAAAGGACACAUGGACCACACUCCUAGCUUCUCCUAUUACCGGGCAGUCUUUUCAGUUGCAAUCCAUCCUUUGAGUAGCGCUUGGAAAAGAAAACAAAAACUUUUAGAGCCGAGCAAUCAGCACAACACUUUACCCUUUCGCCAUUGCAGCACCAGCAUUGGAACCAUCAACCGUGCCGCUUGGAGAGCCAUCAACAUCUCUACUAGCUCGAAUUGUCGAAACUCCAUGGUGGCUUUUCCGAAACUGAAAACGAAAAGAUUCCUUGCUUGCGAGUAGACGCAUACUCGUGAACAGUAUCAAAAGCAGCAAAACAAAAU